This 731-nucleotide ribosomal RNA is filed under the name uncultured Bacteroidales bacterium. Its description in RNAcentral is "bacterial SSU rRNA". It matches the Rfam family "Bacterial small subunit ribosomal RNA", at positions 32 to 751 of the family's 1533-position model. The record is from RNAcentral. Lineage: Bacteria; Pseudomonadati; Bacteroidota; Bacteroidia; Bacteroidales.
AACGCUAGCUACAGGCUUAACACAUGCAAGUCGAGGGGCAGCAUUUUAGUUUGCUUGCAGACUGAAGAUGGCGACCGGCGCACGGGUGAGUAACACGUAUCCAACCUGCCGAUAACUCCGGAAUAGCCUUUCGAAAGAAAGAUUAAUACCGGAUGGCAUACGAAUAUCGCAUGAUAUUUUUAUUAAAGAAUUUCGGUUAUCGAUGGGGAUGCGUUCCAUUAGUUUGUUGGCGGGGUAACGGCCCACCAAGACUACGAUGGAUAGGGGUUCUGAGAGGAAGGUCCCCCACAUUGGAACUGAGACACGGUCCAAACUCCUACGGGAGGCAGCAGUGAGGAAUAUUGGUCAAUGGGCGAGGGCCUGAACCAGCCAAGUAGCGUGAAGGAUGAAGGCUCUAUGGGUCGUAAACUUCUUUUAUAUGGGAAUAAAGUUUUCCACGUGUGGAAUUUUGUAUGUACCAUAUGAAUAAGGAUCGGCUAACUCCGUGCCAGCAGCCGCGGUAAUACGGAGGAUCCGAGCGUUAUCCGGAUUUAUUGGGUUUAAAGGGAGCGUAGGUGGAUUGUUAAGUCAGUUGUGAAAGUUUGCGGCUCAACCGUAAAAUUGCAGUUGAAACUGGGAGUCUUGAGUACAGUAGAGGUGGGCGGAAUUCGUGGUGUAGCGGUGAAAUGCUUAGAUAUCACGAAGAACUCCGAUUGCGAAGGCAGCUCACUAGACUGUCACUGACACUGAUG